RNAcentral lists this long non-coding RNA (2893 nucleotides) under Lactuca sativa (garden lettuce). RNAcentral's name for it is "long non-coding RNA (LSAT_LNC003514)". Lineage: Eukaryota; Viridiplantae; Streptophyta; Magnoliopsida; Asterales; Asteraceae. The record is from RNAcentral.
GUUGCCCCAUUCUAAAUCUAUGCGAUGAAACUUAAUCCCAGUAUACAUGAUCGUGAAAAAUCAGGGACGAAAUCAAAUCAAACAAUCAUAUUCGCUCAUCGGUUUAACCUAUUCACUUCAUUAUUUACGCUCAAAUUAUCUAUGCGAUGAAACUUAAUCCCAGUAUGCAUGAUCGUGAAAAAUCAGGGACGAAAUCGCAAGAAAUCACAUACAUAUCUUCUUCCUUUCUCUCUCACGAACACUUGAGAAUUUUUCUUCUGUCUUCUGUUGCUCCUAAUUUGAAUUGAUUUAUUGGUGCAGGUAUCUAAGUAAUUUGAAGAAGUUUGGUCCCGAUAGGAGAUAACAUCAAAUCGUCGUUGAAACAAACAGAUCGCAAGGUUACAGUUUUUCCUUCAUUAUCGCUACCUUAUCGCAGCUCUAUCUCCAUCUUUUUCAAAUUCCGAUUUCUUCUCCACGUUCCCUUAUUGCAGGAGGUAGGCGAUGGUUCGGUUAUAUUGUCGUCUUAUGAUUCUGGUCUCAUCAAUUGGUUUAACAUGUACGGAUGUUAACGAUGGUGGAUUCACUUUGAGAAUUUAUGGUUCACGAUUUCUUCUUAUUAAGGUUCUUAAUUCAUGGUAUUCAAUUUUAUUUUUUCUGUUUUAUGUUUCUGAUUUACAAGGUCUUUUUACAUUAAAGUUUGCUCCUUCGUUGUUUGAGUUCUUGGGCAAAAGUUAAGGACAAACUUUGAUUUAACCUAAUUUCUUUCCAAGAGACAUCUUCAUGAUAUUCUUAAAAUAAAUGAGAAUUUUUGUAUGGAAGCAUAACAAAAUCGGUUGUAUUCUCCUUUACCCUCCACUAAUUGCUGAUGAACUCAUUUAUCUAACACCUGAUACCUCCCCUUCUCAACACACCGAUGAACAAGGUAAUCUAUAUCAUCCUUUCAUAUUCUUUUUGAAAAAAAAAAACAAUUCUGAGCCCUUGUGUAUGUUAAUUUGUUUUUUUGAUAGAAUUCUUUGCUUAAAGAUGCAUUGGAUUCUCUUUGGUUUACUAAUUCAAAUUUUAUGUGAUUCUGUUCUUUGGCCAAUAGGUAACAUGUUUGUUGGUGAUUUAACUUUUAGUUCUUUUUGUACUACGGUUCAAGUGUAUAGGGUGAGACAAUUAUUCCUUUCAGUUGUGCAUUGGAACAGAAUCUUGUUGAUCUUCCAGAAGAUCAAGCAGCAAAAUACUGUGAGGAAAUUUCUUUAUUUUAGGUAUAAAUUCUCUGUUAAAACCCAAAGGACGUUUUUUUUUUUUUUUUUGUUUAGAAUUCCAUGGAUAAUGGACUUAUAUCCUGCCUUGCAAAAUGACUCAUUUGAUUGCUAAACACCCCAUCUUUCAGUUUUUUCAAAUAUGAAGGCAUACCUAUUUUGCUUGGUUUCAAUUUCAGCUUACACCAAAAACUUUCAAACAUGAUCUGUUUUGUUCAUUUUGUAUAAAAUUGUUUUCUAUAAUGUCAGUCAAUCUCUCAUCUUAAAUUAAGUCAAAUUAGGUUUAUUUUGAGUUGACUUUGAGCUUUUUUUAGUUGGUUUUUUACCUCAACACACGAGAUGAGAAGGCCCAUUGCCUUGGUGCUGUCAUAGUAUAGCCUCUGUAACAUAAGGAUGCUAACUAGGGAUGAUAAAAAUGGUGACAUUGUUUAGAAACCCGUUUCUCUAACUCCAUUUUGCUAAGACUCACACUCAUGUGUCAUUGAUUACUAACAAUUUAGAAUGGGUGAAUAGUAACUUUUGGGUGUUUCUUUUUGAAUUAAUAGAAAAAGGCUCAAACUUUAAAGUGGAAGGAUGGAGUGUGUAUGUAUUCAGACCCUAAACUAUGUUAGAAAGUAUAUAUACAGAGUAUAAGAGGUCAUCAGCCAGAUACAAACAGGGUAAUAAUUUGCGUGAUGCUGUGAAUUCAUAUAACUAAGAUUAAGUUACAUUUUGAGGCCUUCACGCAUAAAUCGAUUUGCAUUAACAUAUUUGAACAAACAGGGACGGAAAUUUUGACAUCAAUCUUAUUCCAUAAAAUAUAUUAGCUAAUUGCAGAAUAAAUGUUGAAAAGAACUGUUAUCAAUUUAACAAACAGUUCUCUUUUUUUCUCCAUUAAAUGUUAUCUAAAUCCUGGCGUUGGUUAGAAGAGAAUGAAGUUGUAUCUCUUGGAAAGCAUAUUGAACAAGGUAGGUUCUCUUAUACAUCAGUAGCCUACUUUUGCAGCAAAUUAACCCUUAAUCUAGGAUAAAUCUAAGAUUUUUUCAUCAUCUUGAAGGACAUCUUCAAUGAUUUUCAGUUAUCUCGUUAGGAAGCUUGUUGAUUGUUUGUGUUGGAAUAUUUUAUGAUGUUUUUUUGUUUUCUGAUUAUUUGUUUGGUUAUUGUCUUUAUAUUAUUCAACAGCUCAUAUGGCUAUUGCAAAUGGUGGAGAUUGGCAAAAGGAAUUCUAUCAAAAAGAUGGUGCAUAUGAAAGUAGAUUUGUGUAAGUUUCACCAUAUGUUAUGGUCCAAGAUUCUGUAGAUUUGCUUAAAUUUUUGUUGUAUUGCUAGCUAAGUUUUGUAGUCACAUCUUUGCAAGUAAAUGAUGAUAAAGUAAAGUCUGUACUUGAGCUGAUGGUGGCCGUGUUAUAGAAAGCAUGAAUUAUCAUAGUUAAGAUGAAUGUGUGAUGUCGAAGUAAUUUAGUAUGAUCAAAAUGAUUUAACUUAACGACUUAGAUGUUAAAGUUAUUAAAUCAACAUUUUCUCCAUACCAUGGUUUAGUCUAUACAAAAUUUGAUCAUAGUGGGAGUUCGUUAGCAGCAUAAGGUACUUGGAUUAUAUCGCAUACUACACCUGAAGGGUAUUUUGGUCAUUUUACACAAACAUUUUAACAUGUAUGAUUUGUUUAAUUGUUACACUCAACUACUUAGC